GUGGAAGGAAGAAUUGGGUGCAGAGGGACAAGGUGUACAAUUUUUGAUGCAAGAGGGCACCUUUUGAAUAUUUAGAGGAAGACUCACUGCUAUAGGAAGCAUCUGAAACCUAACAGUUUGCAAAGAUAAACAAGCAGUUGUACAUUUUCAGUGAGAUUCAGCCAUAUAUGUGGCUUAUAUGUAAGCAUCCUAAUUCCUGAUGGUGACAAGACUUCAGGAUUCAACUCUGUUAUCUUCUCCU
Molecule: long non-coding RNA, 241 nt
Filed under: Coturnix japonica (Japanese quail)
Lineage: Eukaryota; Metazoa; Chordata; Aves; Galliformes; Phasianidae
Description: lncRNA (ENSCJPG00005015601.1)
Source: RNAcentral